UAAUGUGAAUAAGCAGAAUUCAGUGAAUCAUCGAAUCUUUGAACGCACCUUGCCGCUCCUUGGUAUUCCGAGGGAGCAUGCCUGUUUGAGUGUCAUUAAUAUAUAUAUCAAACUUCUCUUAUUGAGUGGUUUCGGAUGUGGGGGUUCUGCUGGACCUUUUUAACAAGGUCUCAGCUCUCCUGAAAUGCAUUAGCAGAACAAACCUGUGUCAUAUGGUGUGAUAACUAU
This 228-nucleotide unclassified non-coding RNA is filed under the name uncultured fungus. Its description in RNAcentral is "partial contains 5.8S rRNA and ITS2". The stretch from base 1 to 95 matches the Rfam family "5.8S ribosomal RNA", at positions 63 to 154 of the family's 154-position model. The record is from RNAcentral. Lineage: Eukaryota; Fungi.